Molecule: RNA transcript, 3988 nt
Organism: Syngnathus acus (greater pipefish)
Lineage: Eukaryota; Metazoa; Chordata; Actinopteri; Syngnathiformes; Syngnathidae
Gene: xkr4
Gene name: XK related 4
Exons: 5
Source: RefSeq, a predicted model, not a curated record
UGCAAGGACUGAGAGAAAAAAUAUCCUUCGUAAUUCAAAUUAAUUAAUUUCAAUGUUUUGAUGUCACCAUCUAAAUCACUACAUUUGCACCACGGCAUUUGAGAAUAUAUAUAAUAAUUUUUACAAAGGAAAAACAGAUCAUUUCACCGCAAACCGUGGAGGGGGAAGACAGUCAGGGAGAGAUGAUGUCAUAGUUUCUGGUCGCUCCCAUUGAAAAAGCUGGUGGCUGCAGGCUUCCUCUUCUUCAGGCUCUCAUCGUCGCCUCAUCUGCUUCGUUGGCCUUGCGGGUUCCACCCGUGGAAGCACAACUUGAGCGGAUGAUCUUCCAGGCAUAAAACGGAAAAACCCAGCUUUAAAUGUCAGCCGAGGUCCGUUUUAAAGAAACGCACUUAAUAUGUGAUUUGAAAGAUGUCAACUCAAAUCCUCCUUUUGUUUUUUGUUUUUUAUUGUGGAUUAUGACCUGUCGCCUGUGUAGCGGAGCCGCUCCUGCCCAGAAAGGAGGAGGAGGUGGUGGGGGACAGAAGAGGAGGAGACGCGCAGAAGGGUGUCGACGGUGAGAGGAGACAGGGGUGGAGGAGAGAGGUGGGCGAAAUAAUAGACUAGUGUUAUUACAAGCUGGUAACAAUGGCUGCUAAAUCGGACGGGGUCCUGAAGAUGAAGAAGAGCGACGUGGCCUUCACGCCCCUGCAGAACUCGGAGUACUCCGGCUCGGUUCAAGGGCUCCACCCGGGCUGCCAGCCUGACUCCGCUGGCGCCGGGGACGCUGACUUCGUUAACGGGGAAUCGCGUUGUUGUGGCGGCGGGGGCUCCAACACGGCUUGUCUUCGCUUGGGCAGGGAGCAGCAGAAAUAUACGGUGUGGGACUGCCUGUGGAUAGUCGCCGCAGUGGCCGUGUAUGUGGCCGAUGUGGGCACUGAUGUGUGGCUGUCAGUCGACUAUUACCUCCAGCGAGACUACUGGUGGUUCGGCCUGACGCUCUUCUUCGUCGUACUGGGUUCCUUCUCGGUGCAGCUCUUUAGCUUCAGAUGGUUCGUUCACGAUUUCAGCACAGAGGAGGCGACGGAAUCCGCCGCCGAUUGCUCGCACAUGGACGGUAAUAAGCUGCUGAGUGGCUCGGCCUCACACGCUGAUGUGAGCGCUCAGCAUCCCCCGACCACGCCGCAGAGACAGGCGUCGACCGCGAGUAAGAACACUACGAACAACAGCACCAACAGCACCGCCAUGGGAAGCCGGACUCGGAAACGCUCGGCCUCAUACUCCUUGUGUAUGUGGUUCUCUCAGUCUCUCAUCCACAUCUUCCAGCUGGGCCAGAUAUGGAGGUACCUCCAUACUAUUUAUCUGGGCAUUCGGAGUCGUCAGAGUUCUGACACUGACCGGUGGCGUUACCAUUGGAGGAUGAUCUAUGAGUUUGCAGACGUGAGCAUGCUGCAUCUACUGGCCACUUUUCUCGAGAGCGCUCCACAGUUGGUGCUACAAUUGUGCAUCAUAAUACAGACACACAAACUUCAGGCUGUGCAAGGUAUGACAGCAGCAGCCUCCCUCGUCUCCCUUGCCUGGGCCCUUGCCUCCUAUCAGAAGGCCCUGCGAGAAUCUCGGGAUGACAAGAAGCCCAUCACCUACCUAGCUGUCAUCAUUCAGUUCUGCUGGCACUUCUUCACUAUCGCCGCAAGGGUCAUCACUUUUGCCCUGUUUGCGUCCGUUUUCCAACUUUACUUUGGCAUCUUCAUCGUGCUACACUGGUGCAUCAUGACCUUCUGGAUUGUCCACUGUGAGACGGACUUUUGCAUCAGCAAGUGGGAAGAAAUUGUGUUUGACAUGGUGGUGGGCAUUAUCUACAUCUUUUCCUGGUUCAAUGUUAAGGAGGGACGGACAAGGUGUCGUCUUUUCAUCUACUACCUGGUGAUACUGGUGGAGAAUGCGGCUCUCAGUGCAUUGUGGUACAUCUACCGCUUACCUCACCCCACUGACUCCUUUGCUGUGCCAGCACUCUGUGUCAUCUUCAGUAGUUUCCUCACAGGGGUGGUUUUCUUGCUCAUGUACUAUGCUUUUUUCCAUCCAAACGGGCCUCGUUUUGGUCACUCGCCAAGCUGCCAGCGCCUUGAUCUGGAUGCCACGACUCAGUUCUCCACACUACCGUCUGAGGGUGGCACCAAUUCUCUGCGCUCCAACCGGGGAGCCACCACAACAUUAGAGCGCGACGCUGCAAAAUAUACGGAAAGGGAUGGUUGCAUGCCAGUGUUUCAGGUGCGACACACCGUGCCAUCUACUCCAUCAUCUCGUGCGCCUCGCCUCGAUGAGACCGUCAUCAAGAUUGAUCUCUGUCGGAACCGCUACCCAGCCUGGGAGCGCCACGUCCUCGACCGUAGUAUACGAAAGGCAAUUUUGGCCAUAGAUUGCUCGCUGACUCCUCCACGGCUGCAGUAUAAAGAUGAUGCCCUGGUACAAGAAAGGUUGGAGUAUGAAACCACAUUAUAAUGCUCUCUUAACUCCACCCAGCAGCCAGAAUCAGCAAAACAGACUGUGGCACGUGACUCCCCAUUUCAUCUCUCUCCCCCUACUUUCUUCGUCAACUCAGUGACCUUCCAAUGAAAAAUCCAACAAUCAGAGGAGAGUGCCAAAACGUUUCCUUGGAAAUAUUGAAGAUGUGGAGCGCCUCAUACAGUAGAUGGCACAGUAGUCUCUCCACAAGUGCAGACUUUUAAUCGUCUUAGCUCAUUCUAGAAGAAGAAGGUCAAGUACUUGAAGACAAUGGUUAAAGUAGCACUUAUUUACAGUUGUCAAACCUGGCUGAAAGAAAGGGUGGAACAAAAAGUUGAACACAAAGAUCCACAGCCUCUCUCUCUCCAACUCGCCGAUUGCCAUGGGGGAAAAAAAACCCUUCCUGGCACCUCAAGUCCACAAUAAAGAACAGCUUUCUACACUUAAGUGAGCUGAAGUUCCACCUUGUGAACGAGAGCAGCAGAAUUGAGGACUGUGGUGGAUGCCAUUUGAAAAGAAAUGACGCGUGGAGAAUCCAAAAGAUACAGCCAGGAAGGAAGCGCUUGCAACGCCAAAUCGAAGCAACCGGGAUGUACAAUACUUCUAUACAACAUGCAGCAUUUUCUUACCUUUUCAGAUCAGUAGUGGGUACUGAAGUCAUUGUUAUUCUUGUUCUGUAUGUCCAAAAGUCUUAGAUCACCAUUACAGAUGUUGUUUUAGUAAGUACAAUGUUGGUGAGUAAAACACAGGCCUCAAACAAGGCCAAGCUGUGAAGAAAAAUAACUAAACCUAAGUAUCACCAACAAAGUUCUUCCUUGGUCUGCCCGUCCUUUACUCAUUUUCAUGACGAUUGGUCAGCUAUUUUUUUUUUUUAUCCUGUUCAGAUUGAUGGCUGCUGUAAAAAACAAGAUCAUUAGAAGAAGAAAGCUCAAGGUGGCCUAAGACUUUGCACAAUACCGUGUGUGUCUGUGUGUGCGUGCGUGCGCGUCUGUACGAAUUUGUGUGCAAAUAUAUGGACCCCUUUAUGGCCUACGUCAUGAUGACGUCAGUGUAAACUGGAGGCAAAGUGAAGUUGAAAUAUGCCAACUUGCGUUUUCAAGCAUGCUAAAUCAUUUUGCCUCCAGCUAAGCCCAAAAUGAUGCCACAUUGUUUACAAACUCAAAAGGGGGUUUAACUACUGUGACUUGCCAUGCCCCUUGUGGAAUUGAAUGGGAUGGUACUGCUGACUUGAAAAGACUUAAGAUAAUAGGCCACAAGUUGAGCAGGUUGUCCCCCGGCCCUCUCACUUCCUGACUCCCACAGUGAUGAUAUUUGAAAUAGAAUACAUCUUCCAGGGUCAAACGUAUAUGCCAUCGCAAACUUUUGAAUAUAGUUCAGGUGAUAAUUUAAGUAACACUUAAACAUUCCAUACUUUCCUCGUAUGGGAAUCUAACGAAAAUUUCCCCAGACAUCUGGAAAAGCUACAAUAGGUAUUGUAGACAAAAUCAAGAAGUGAGGCAUACAGUAAUCC